GGCUCAGAUUGAACGCUGGCGGCAUGCCUUACACAUGCAAGUCGAACGGCAGCACGGACUUCGGUCUGGUGGCGAGUGGCGAACGGGUGAGUAAUGUAUCGGAACGUACCUUUCAGUGGGGAUAACGUAGCGAAAGUUACGCUAAUACCGCAUAUUCUGUGAGCAGGAAAGCAGGGGAUCGCAAGACCUUGCGCUGAUUGAGCGGCCGAUAUCAGAUUAGCUAGUUGGUGAGGUAAAGGCUCACCAAGGCGACGAUCUGUAGCGGGUCUGAGAGGAUGAUCCGCCACACUGGAACUGAGACACGGUCCAGACUCCUACGGGAGGCAGCAGUGGGGAAUUUUGGACAAUGGGGGCAACCCUGAUCCAGCCAUGCCGCGUGAGUGAAGAAGGCCUUCGGGUUGUAAAGCUCUUUCGGCCGGGAAGAAAUCGCAUGGGCUAAUACCCUGUGCGGAUGACGGUACCGGCAUAAGAAGCACCGGCUAACUACGUG
RNAcentral lists this ribosomal RNA (490 nucleotides) under uncultured bacterium. RNAcentral's name for it is "bacterial SSU rRNA". It matches the Rfam family "Bacterial small subunit ribosomal RNA", at positions 21 to 507 of the family's 1533-position model. The record is from RNAcentral.